AUUGGGCCCCGGCAUGGCAUCCGUGCUUGUGACGAAGAUGCUGGCGUCUGCCCUGAGCCCUCUGCUCCGUUGGAGCCCUCCCCUGGCGAUGCCCCGCGCGCUCUCCACUCUCCUGCCCGGAUCCCAUCGCGCUGCCGGUGCUGCUGGUGCGAAGCCCAGGGCGUGGGAGCUCGCGGGACUGCCCGGCCGCCUGCUGCCCGGCCUGCAGCUGCCCAGCCUACAGCUUGCCCUGGGGUUCAAGACCAAGGGCGUCAUCAAGGAGCGCUGCAAGGACUGUUACCGGGUGAAGAGGCGCGGCCGCUGGUUCAUCUACUGCAAAACGAACCCAAAGCACAAGCAGAGACAGAUGUAGUUCCCAUCACUAAAAUGACGUGCGAAACUGCAUCACUUCCUUGCGGAAUGGUACCGUCUAUCCACAGAAAAAUAAAAUGUAAACAUUACCUAAUCGACCUUCAGGUCUUCUUGACUCUGCUACCCAGGCAUGUCACCUGUAGCAGCCCAGUCCCAUCAGCUAUGCAAGCAGAGCCCCAGUACGGGAAAUGCACCGUUUUAUCUUCUGUGCAUGCUGUGUGCACUCGGGCUGGAGGGCAGAAGCAUCUCUUCAGUCUUGGAACACGAGUGGAGAAGACAGAUGUGUCCCACUGUUUCUUCACCCCGUUGGUAUGUUUGAGCUUCAGCACCAUCCGUUUCUCCAAAGGAGGGUCUCUUGCUGGUCUUAAGCCUCUGCCUGUUCUUGUCAAUAAAGUUUUAUUGGAACACAGUCACGUUCCUUCCGUCAUGCGUCGUCUGUGGAUACUUUUGUGUCGCGUGGGCAGACCUGAGCGACUGUGUUGA
RNAcentral lists this long non-coding RNA (834 nucleotides) under Ailuropoda melanoleuca (giant panda). Its description in RNAcentral is "lncRNA (ENSAMEG00000023895.1)". The record is from RNAcentral. Lineage: Eukaryota; Metazoa; Chordata; Mammalia; Carnivora; Ursidae.